GAGGAAUAUUGGUCAAUGGGCGGAAGCCUGAACCAGCCAUCCCGCGUGCAGGAUGACAGCCCUAGAGGUUGUAAACUGCUUUUCUGCAGGAAGAAUAAGGACUACGCGUAGUUCGAUGACUGUACUGUAGGAAUAAGCAUCGGCUAACUCCGUGCCAGCAGCCGCGGUAAUACGGAGGAUGCAAGCGUUAUCCGGAUUUAUUAGGUUUAAAGGGUGCGUAGGCGGAGAUUUAAGUCAGUGGUAAAAGGCAAUAGCUUAACUAUUGUAAGCCAUUGAUACUGGGUUUCUUGAGUUCGGUAGAGGUAGGCGGAAUGUGUUGUGUAGCGGUGAAAUGCAUAGAUAUAACACAGAACACCGAUUGCGAAGGCAGCUUACUAUGCCGUUACUGACGCUGAUGCACGAAAGCGUGGGGAUCAAAC
RNAcentral lists this ribosomal RNA (419 nucleotides) under uncultured bacterium. Its description in RNAcentral is "bacterial SSU rRNA". It matches the Rfam family "Bacterial small subunit ribosomal RNA", at positions 356 to 773 of the family's 1533-position model. The record is from RNAcentral.